Molecule: long non-coding RNA, 1056 nt
Organism: Felis catus (domestic cat)
Lineage: Eukaryota; Metazoa; Chordata; Mammalia; Carnivora; Felidae
Exons: 2
Source: RefSeq, a predicted model, not a curated record
AUAAACGAGCCUGAUAGAAAAUGUGAAAUGCGAUAGUACGUUAAGGCCUCGUUAGAUUUCUUUGGGAACAGAAGAGGCAGAAAAAGCUUGAGCAGACCCUGGAGGGAGCAAGAACAGCAUUUCCGCAGCCAGGCGGCCCUGGCUCUUGGGUUUUCUCACAGUUAGAGGCUCCGCGGUUGGCGUUUCUAGCCCUUCCCCAUGCAACACUGCCCCGGGGGAGGGACGGGUGCCUGCCUCCGCCUCCGAGUCCCAUAGAUGAACCCCCGAGAGACUGAACUCAGCGCCACUUUCUAGAACUUCAGUUUGCAAACAGGUAAACUCAUGCUAGUGUCAAGGUCACGAUCAAGCCCAUUUCUUGUGUGUCUGAAGGGUGUCAAAGAGUUCAAGCCCAAAAGCUUUCACUACAGAGGAAAGGAAAUGAUGAUCAGGAAGUCUACAGAGCAUUUCUUAGAACACAGGAGACGGGGUCUCUACCUCCGCUGCAGAUAGAUGGCACAUGGCAAUAGCAGCCUUCGCUUCUGCCUUCGGCUUCAUUCAUUCUUAACAUUGCAAAUCACUAAGCUCUUGAUUAGAGGCCAACUGGGGAGGUUUUUUCUAGUAAGUGGGUUCAUUUUGGCACAUUCAGAUUUCCCCCUGCAGCCUGCGUUUUCUACCGUUUUCCGUGUACACUAUCAAAGCCAGAUUGUAUGUCUUAUAAAAUAAUUGAGGUCUGAGAUGAGAAACGGGUGUGUUGGCAGGCCUGAGAGCAGAUCAAAGCUGAGCUAGGAAAGGGCUUUACAGAGAGGGCUCCGUCAGUGGAGAAGCCAAGGAAAGAUGACAUCUAAAUUUGCCCUGUGUUCCCCAAACGGAUGCUAAAUGUCCACAGAAUUAGUUGUGAUGUGGGCCGCUGUGAGUACCCAGCAGGAAAGAAGGAACACAGACAAGGAAGUGGUUUUCAAGAACAAAGACACGCGAGAGUCCCAAGAUUAGUGCUCCGGUGACAGGUCUCUGAUGGAUCCACAAAGCAUUUUCUGUUUGUUUUUUUUUUUUUUAAUUAAAAAAAAUGUUAAUGUUUGU